RNAcentral lists this ribosomal RNA (256 nucleotides) under uncultured bacterium. RNAcentral describes it as "partial 16S ribosomal RNA". It matches the Rfam family "Bacterial small subunit ribosomal RNA", at positions 234 to 507 of the family's 1533-position model. The record is from RNAcentral.
ACACCUAUCAGGUAGUUGGCGGGGUAAUGGCCCACCAAGCCGAAGACGGGUAGCCGGUAUGAGAGUACGGCCGGCCACAUCGGGACUGAGACACUGCCCGGACUCCUACGGGAGGCUGCAGUAACGAAUAUUCCACAAUGCACGAAAGUGUGAUGGAGCAAUGCCGCGUGCGGGAUGAAGCGCCUUUGGCGUGUAAACCGCUGUCAGGGGAUCGAAACACUGAUCAUCCCCAGAGGAAGUGGCGACUAACUCUGUG